This 274-nucleotide ribosomal RNA is filed under the name uncultured bacterium. Its description in RNAcentral is "partial 16S ribosomal RNA". It matches the Rfam family "Bacterial small subunit ribosomal RNA", at positions 523 to 796 of the family's 1533-position model. The record is from RNAcentral.
AUACGGAGGGUGCAAGCGUUAUUCGGAAUUACUGGGCGUAAAGGACGCGUAGGCGGGUUGGCAAGUCAGAUGUGAAAUCCUACAGCUUAACUGUAGAACUGCAUUUGAAACUGCUAACCUAGAGUAUGGGAGGGGGAGAUGGAAUUAGUGGUGUAGGGGUAAAAUCCGUAGAUAUCACUAGGAAUACCGAAAGCGAAGGCGAUCUGCUGGAACAUAACUGACGCUAAGGCGUGAAAGCGUGGGGAGCAAACAGGAUUAGAAACCCCAGUAGUCC